CCUACGGGUGGCAGCAGUGAGGAAUAUUGGUCAAUGGGCGUAAGCCUGAACCAGCCAAGCCGCGUGAGGGAUGAAGGUUCUAUGGAUCGUAAACCUCUUUUAUAAGGGAAUAAAGUGUGGGACGUGUCCUAUUUUGUAUGUACCUUAUGAAUAAGGAUCGGCUAACUCCGUGCCAGCAGCCGCGGUAAUACGGAGGAUCCGAGCGUUAUCCGGAUUUAUUGGGUUUAAAGGGUGCGUAGGCGGCCUUUUAAGUCAGCGGUGAAAGUCUGUGGCUCAACCAUAGAAUUGCCGUUGAAACUGGGGGGCUUGAGUAUGUUAGAGGCAGGCGGAAUGCGUGGUGUAGCGGUGAAAUGCGUAGAUAUCACGCAGAACCCCGAUUGCGAAGGCAGCCUGCCGGGCCAUGACUGACGUUGAUGCACGAAAGCGUGGGGAUCAAACAGGAUUAGAUACCCUUGUAGUC
RNAcentral lists this ribosomal RNA (460 nucleotides) under uncultured bacterium. RNAcentral's name for it is "partial 16S ribosomal RNA". It matches the Rfam family "Bacterial small subunit ribosomal RNA", at positions 338 to 795 of the family's 1533-position model. The record is from RNAcentral.